CGGAGGAGUCCAAGCGUUAUCCGGAAUCAUUGGGUUUAAAGGGUCCGUAGGCGGUCUAGUAAGUCAGUGGUGAAAGCCCAUCGCUCAACGGUGAACGGCCAUUGAUACUGCUGGACUUGAAUUAUUAGGAAGUAACUAGAAUAUGUAGUGUAGCGGUGAAAUGCUUAGAGAUUACAUGGAAUACCAAUUGCGAAGGCAGGUUACUACUAAUGGAUUGACGCUGAUGGACGAAAGCGUGGGUAGCGAACAGGAUUAGAUACCCUGGUAGUCCACGCCGUAAACGAUGGAUACUAGCUGUUGGGCGCAAGUUCAGUGGCUAAGCGAAAGUGAUAAGUAUCCCACCUGGGGAGUACGUUCGCAAGAAUG
Molecule: ribosomal RNA, 366 nt
Filed under: uncultured organism
Description: bacterial SSU rRNA
Rfam family: Bacterial small subunit ribosomal RNA
Source: RNAcentral